Molecule: transfer RNA, 63 nt
Filed under: Glyphocrangon regalis
Lineage: Eukaryota; Metazoa; Arthropoda; Malacostraca; Decapoda; Glyphocrangonidae
Description: tRNA-Gly
Source: RNAcentral
AUUUUUUUAAUAUAAAAAGUAUAAUUGACUUCCAAUCAAUAAGUCUGAUUUCCAGAGAAAAUA